GGCGGUGUAGCUCAGUUGGUUAGAGCAGCGGAAUCAUAAUCCGCGUGUCGGGGGUUCAAAUCCCUCCACCGCUACCA
This 77-nucleotide transfer RNA is filed under the name bacterium. RNAcentral describes it as "tRNA-Met". It matches the Rfam family "tRNA". Rfam says of the family: Transfer RNA (tRNA) molecules are approximately 80 nucleotides in length. The record is from RNAcentral. RNAcentral also lists the same sequence under 1 other name.